UUAACCUGUCCGCUGUGAUUGGCACGGAUUUGGCCUUCACUGGUAGCCUGGUAACAUACACUCCCAGGUCUUUCUCUGCCUCUGUGGUGGAUAGUGGAGUGUUUCCCAUGUGGUAUUGGUAUGCUGGAUAUCCCUUCACUGGUAGCCUGGUAACAUACACUCCCAG
This is a long non-coding RNA of Eriocheir sinensis (Chinese mitten crab), 166 nucleotides long. RefSeq lists it as uncharacterized. NCBI's taxonomy places the organism in Eukaryota, Metazoa, Arthropoda, Malacostraca, Decapoda, Varunidae. The record is from RefSeq and is a predicted model, not a curated record. The transcript has 2 exons.